CCUACGGGUGGCAGCAGUGAGGAAUAUUGGUCAAUGGACGGAAGUCUGAACCAGCCAUGCCGCGUGCAGGAAGACGGCUCUAUGAGUUGUAAACUGCUUUUGUACAAGGGUAAACCUGAAUACGUGUAUUCAGCUGAAAGUACUGUACGAAUAAGCAUCGGCUAACUCCGUGCCAGCAGCCGCGGUAAUACGGAGGAUCCAAGCGUUAUCCGGAUUUAUUGGGUUUAAAGGGUGCGUAGGCGGAUUGAUAAGUUAGAGGGGAAAUGUCCGAGCUUAACUCGGGAACUGCCUCUAAAACUGUUGAUCUAGAGAGUAGAUGCGGUAGGCGGAAUGUAUGGUGUAGCGGUGAAAUGCUUAGAGAUCAUACAGAACACCGAGUGCGAAGGCAGCUUACCAAUCUAUAUCUGACGUUGAGGCACGAAAGCGUGGGGAGCAAACAGGAUUAGAUACCCCGGUAGUC
Molecule: ribosomal RNA, 460 nt
Filed under: uncultured bacterium
Lineage: Bacteria
Description: partial 16S ribosomal RNA
Rfam family: Bacterial small subunit ribosomal RNA
Source: RNAcentral